Molecule: long non-coding RNA, 321 nt
Organism: Lucilia sericata (common green bottle fly)
Lineage: Eukaryota; Metazoa; Arthropoda; Insecta; Diptera; Calliphoridae
Exons: 2
Source: RefSeq, a predicted model, not a curated record
AUACGGGUGAUAAAGCUGUCAGGGAUUCAAUUAAGUGAUGAUGAUGAGCGAUGAUGUGGUUGCAAAAUUGAGUUGGCGUGGAACGAGCAGUAAGCCGAGUGUUCAGGAAUUCAAUAUAACGAAAUUUACAACAAGUGUCUGCCAUUCUAAAUUUCCUAAAGCUGAUGAUGGAGGAAUAAAUUAGGUAUUACAACAACAUUUUGUUCAUGCUGGUGACCGUCUUAGAAUUCAAAUUUAUAUUUUAUUUGUUAUUUAAAGUUUACAAAAAAUGCCAAUAUAAAACGAAUAACUAUUUUUUAGACAUUUUAGGAUCAAUUCAAA